RNAcentral lists this long non-coding RNA (297 nucleotides) under Nicotiana benthamiana. Its description in RNAcentral is "long non-coding RNA (NBEN_LNC035678)". The record is from RNAcentral. Lineage: Eukaryota; Viridiplantae; Streptophyta; Magnoliopsida; Solanales; Solanaceae.
AUGCGUUUUUUCUCCUCACUUUGGAAAUGGGCUCAUUUUGAGCCCACAACCUAGCUGUUUCCUGAACAUGGGCCAGACCGAUCUUCUUCUUAUGCACGUCUGUGCUAUGGUCUUUCCUUGGGCCAUUUUCAAGGCCCGAAAGGAUUUUGUAGUUCAUAAACCAAUUAAAGCAACUCUUAACGACAUUAAUUAAUUAGGAUAUUUCUCUUUAUUUGUAUAGACAAAAACAAAAAAUAAAAAAUCAUAGUUGCUUUUAGGAUUGUCUUUUCAAAAUAAACUGAGACGAGGCUCACCAAA